GGAUAUUAGUUGCUGCACGAGGAUCCUUCCUGUGGCCUGUCUUGCUGUAUCUCACUGUUCGCUGAAUCCAGGGUAGGCAGGAUAUGAGCAGGGAAGCUGGAAUUGUGAAAACUCAAGGAGCCGUAGGAACUGCAGGCAUGUGUAUUCUCUCCUGACUGGCACAGCGGCUAUGGCAGCAGCAGACAUGCUGCAUUCUCCUCUUGUGGUUGACCAGUGGGCACAGCCGUGGAGCAAGAGCUUUUUCAGGCUCCGGGAUAAGAAACAGCAGAAGCCUCAACAGGAGACUGCAAAUUCUUGGCUAUUUAAUUGGAGCGUUUUGCUGCUCUUGAAACCAGCUGGAGAGAAGGAGCCAGCGAAGAGCUUGAAGAGCUGGUCUUUGAGUCAGAGCUAAGUAUAGCAUAGCCAAGUGCUUCAUCUCCCCACUCACCAUAUCGCUGUGGAUUUUGAAGGAGGUUGGCUCUGGGGAGAAAAUAUUUAAGGCUGGAGAAAUAGAGUUUUCUUCAGUUUGUCUUCUGUGUAAAUAAGAGGGAUGCAAAGCACAAAAGUUACACUGGUUCUUAUUGAUUAAUGUGCUAACAAGUUAGACAGUUUUUCAGCUGUCCAGCCUCGCCUCUUCUCACGGCAGCUGUGCGCGCGCUGGGGGGCCACUGCAGGGAGGCCAUGCCCGAGGCAACCAAGCUCCCAUCCUGGCCCCUGGUUCCCAGGAUGCACCUCUUUCUCUGGGUAUCGUUGGCAUCUUCUUCAGGCUGUCUCUGUAUCCUGUCUUUCCUCAUCCACGUCUCUCUUUCUUUGAACACUCCAUGGGUCUUUCCCUCUUGCUGUGUUUUCACUUGAGAUCCCACACUGAACACCUAGACCCAGAGCUCAAGGCGUUUGUAAUCUGGAUUUUCCAGAGUGUUCAGUGUCUGCCAGUGGCUGGUGAGGCUGGUGGCCGUCAGAUCUGCACUGGUUGCUGUCACCCCGAGGAUUUGAGAAGAAAAGGGAAGCAGUGCUUUUGGUGACCUAUGUUCUCAAGAAUAUAAAACCUUGGUGACUGCUUCAUGCCAGGCCGGGCGUCUCAACCCGAGGUCUGUAUGAUCUCAAGGGAGAUGAAUAGAGAGCAACUUUCUAAAUAUGUGUGUCUAUGUGCAUUUAGGGGAAAGUUUCAUAGUGUUCACUGAGUUCUCAAGGUUGGCCAGGAGCCAAAUCAUGUAUGAACAGCCAUCCUGUAAGUGUGGCCCCAGUAGGGAGGCUCAGGCACUAAAGGGUGGGUCAGAAUUUAGCUCAGAACUUGGACUCUAAGAGGUUCUCCUACUCCAUCAGAAGCUUUAUUUACCUUUGAAGAGCAGCAGUGAAGAAAGAAACCAAUAGUUAAUUUGACCCUUCAAAUCUAUCUUUAAUAAAAGAUCAUUUCCUUUGUACUUGGUCUUGUUUGGGGAUUGAUUUGCAAUUAUUAGACUUUAUUAUGUACUUGAAGGAGCAGAUAGAGGAAGAAUGAGGUUAUUAUUGCUUUAUCCUUUGAUAUAUCCUAAAACUGUAGAGUUGGAAGGGAGCAGAAAGUUCAUGUUGUCCACCUGAAAGCCCCAACCCUGUUGCCUCGUCCAGAAUCUUCUCUAUGCCUCUCCCAUCAAAUGGCUAUUUAGCCUCUUGCAGGGAGAGAGAAUGUUCUGUUCACUUUCCAUUCAUCCAUUCAACUGCGCAUUCUCAUAUGCCGUGUACUCUGCUAGGUUCUGGGAAGAUGACAAAUAACAGCCUUGGUGGCCGUUAAGGAGCUUACAGUCCAGCAAUCUGGAGAGGCAGACAUUGAAUAGUGAUGAAGAACGUUAGAGCAGGGACAGCUCUGAGGCUAAUGGGGAUCGCUCUGCUCUGUGGGUGGUGGUGCUUAUAGAAGGCAUGUCCAAAGAAAGUAGUAGCCAAGCUGAGCUGAGAGGGAAGGGGGAGCUGGGAAGAUGGAGGAAGAUUGGGUGGAGGGAGGGCUGUAGGCAAAAGGAGCGGCACAGCCAAGGAUCUAAGAAUGAAAGAGAAGAAGCGAGGCUCAGUGGAGAACGUGAGAGGCCAUGAUUGGAGCAGAAAAAGAGAAUACACAGAAUAAAUAAACAGAGUGGUUUCCAUGGCAACCUGCUUUUCUUUAGACAAGUCUGAGUGCGAAAGUUUUCCCUGACCUUUCUACUUACAGCCUUCUGAUGCUCCUAGGCAGAGAAGCAUCUUCAUGGGAUUUAUGAAGACAAACAGACAUCCCAGCCAUGAAUUUUCUCCUCCACUUCCUUAUAUUGGACAUAACUUUAACACAAAAGAAACAAGUUUUGGUUCUGCUGUACCCUUGCUAUGACCGCCACCUAGAAUAUUAUUUUGGACCCAUCCACUCAGCCCAAAGGUUUGUAUAUGUUCACCUACCCCUUCAGACUGUGUGCUUCUGAAGGAUGGGGACCA
RNAcentral lists this long non-coding RNA (2409 nucleotides) under Capra hircus (goat). Its description in RNAcentral is "lncRNA (ENSCHIG00000002053.1)". Lineage: Eukaryota; Metazoa; Chordata; Mammalia; Artiodactyla; Bovidae. The record is from RNAcentral.